RNAcentral lists this ribosomal RNA (253 nucleotides) under uncultured bacterium. Its description in RNAcentral is "partial 16S ribosomal RNA". It matches the Rfam family "Bacterial small subunit ribosomal RNA", at positions 524 to 776 of the family's 1533-position model. The record is from RNAcentral.
UACGAAGGGGGCGAGCGUUGUUCGGAUUUACUGGGCGUAAAGCGCGCGUAGGCGGCUUUGUAAGUUAGAGGUGAAAGCCCGGAGCUUAACUCCGGAACUGCCUUUAAGACUGCAUCGCUAGAAUUGUGGAGAGGUGAGUGGAAUUCCGAGUGUAGAGGUGAAAUUCGUAGAUAUUCGGAAGAACACCAGUGGCGAAGGCGACUCACUGGACACAUAUUGACGCUGAGGUGCGAAAGCGUGGGGAGCAAACAGG